CAGAGCGCCAACUCAACAGUCAGCGCCCCUGUGCAUCGCAGCGCAACCUGCGAUGGGAGAGGUUUCUCUGCCUUCGUGGCCGCUUCCUUAACAGAUUCAUGAUUGGCAGGUGGCCUGCGAGCUCUCACAUGCGUGCGACGAGAGAAACCUGAUAAAUUUGCACAGGGACAGAUGCUCAGGGGAAAGGAAAGAGCUCUGCCUUGCACUUGUACAGAAAGGAAACAAGGCAGCAGAGGCAAGACCAAUGGAGAGUACGGCAGCAAGACAGAAAGGGGCAGAAGGCGACAGAACAUGCACGCUGGGGACAUGGAAAUUUCUAGAAAGAAGGCGCAAGCAGAAACAGGACACCGGCGAUAAAAAGUUCCCUUUGUAACCAGACCAGCUGAGACCAGUUACAAAGCCUACCCCAGGUAUCCGACCAGAUGACUUCAAAAAGACCUCAGGCUUCAUUAUAAUCUAAUUUCCAUGCUAAAUGACACUUCCACCAGUGUCAUGACGGUUGCCAGUCCCCGUGACAAUGACCAGAAGGAGCCAUAAAAGGACAAAAACAAGGGAGCCCCUCAUUCCAAGAAGUGUACCGCCCAGUUCCAGAAAAGACAUGGAUAUUCCUCCUCUUGCUUUUAAUGUCCAGCCAUCAUUAAGGAAACCCUAUAUGAUAACCCCCUCACCCCUCACUAAUUGAGAAGUUGAUUUGUGAGCCAAGCUCCCGCUUCUCAAUUCCAUGGCCAUCGAAUAAAGCCUGCACCACUUGACACUCA
RNAcentral lists this long non-coding RNA (758 nucleotides) under Homo sapiens (human). RNAcentral's name for it is "HSALNT0392856". Lineage: Eukaryota; Metazoa; Chordata; Mammalia; Primates; Hominidae. The record is from RNAcentral.